RNAcentral lists this ribosomal RNA (177 nucleotides) under uncultured bacterium. Its description in RNAcentral is "partial 16S ribosomal RNA". It matches the Rfam family "Bacterial small subunit ribosomal RNA", at positions 355 to 524 of the family's 1533-position model. The record is from RNAcentral.
UGGGGAAUAUUGGACAAUGGGCGCAAGCCUGAUCCAGCCAUACCGCGUGGGUGAAGAAGGCCUUCGGGUUGUAAAGCCCUUUUGUUGGGAAAGAAAAGCAGUCGGUUAAUACCCGAUUGUUCUGACGGUACCCAAAGAAUAAGCACCGGCUAACUUCGUGCCAGCAGCCGCGGUAAU